Molecule: long non-coding RNA, 390 nt
Filed under: Homo sapiens (human)
Lineage: Eukaryota; Metazoa; Chordata; Mammalia; Primates; Hominidae
Description: HSALNT0007018
Source: RNAcentral
UGUGUACGAUAUAUGUUGAUAACGUUUUAUUAAAGGGACAUCUUUUUUCCGCAGCCCUUCCUGACAUGUUUGGGGAAUGUGGGUUGGAGUUUAUUACACUGAUUACAAAAUGCAAGGUGACUUCUUGGGCACAGUUUUUGUUCCUGGUGCAUAACAAGAUGUUUUGUGUUUGAGGCGUCUGCCUUCUUUUCCUGGGCCUGCAAAUUCUGUGUUCUUGUGGAGUCGCGAUGGCCUUGGCGGAAGGUGGGUUGGGAGGGAAGAGGGUCCAAGCAAAGGGCAGGCUCAGCCCAUGUUUAUAAAGCCCUUAGGGGACCAGAUAGCAAAUUCCCAGGUUUAAAUCUUGUUUGCUGCAACUUGCUGUGUGGCCUUGGGCAAAUUAGUUGAUACUUC